CAAAUGCAUACGAGGCACCACGAGUUUAUGGGUAAUUUGCAUCUGAGGCAUUUCUUUGCCGUGACUCUUUUUCACCUUGGAUCCGAUGCAUGCC
Molecule: non-coding RNA, 94 nt
Organism: Triticum aestivum (bread wheat)
Lineage: Eukaryota; Viridiplantae; Streptophyta; Magnoliopsida; Poales; Poaceae
Source: Rfam